GCCAAUUGGAAGUGCUGGCAGGAGAUCAUAGUGUGACAUAGAAAGGAAGUCAGGGUAAUUCUUCCUCUAGUUCUCUGCCUUACAAGUAGCUACUGGUCAGCCAUGUCCCUCUACUGAAGGUCCCAGCUCCUUAUGGGCCAUCCUCACUCCUCAAUACAGCUACCCUCUCUGGGUUCCAGUAACUAGCUCAGAAUUCUGUAUUACCCCUGUAAAUGUCCCCCACUUGAAAAUCCCAAUUUUAUUAAGCUCUUCUUAAAAUAUCCAAUUGCAUGUGCCAUCUAAGACCACUUCUGAUAGCCAAUCAACAUCCAUCAAACUGACAGCAUGAUAAUUAAGAUCAUAAAAACUGCCCCCAAGACAAGUUUAAGUACUGACCCAGACUUUGUCCUAUAAUUUUAUUAGUUUGAAUUGUUACAAAGGGGACUUUCAAAAGUCCCCUCUCCCCCUUUGGUGGUACUGGAGAUUGAACCCAAGACUUCUCAUGUGCUAGGCAAGUAUUCUACCACUGAGCCACAUCAUCAGCCCUUAAUUUUUUCUGUGUCCUAUACUUCCAGUUUGAAUAAGUUCCCUUCAGAUGAAUAGUAAUACCUGGGUAAUACCCUUGUUAAAUAUGUAUAGGUGUUAGAUAUAUGCUUGCUUUUUCACUCAAUUGUGCAAAGAUGUAAAACUAAAACUGUACUGAAGCUGUAAAUUAUUAAGAGUAACUAAAUAUUAAUAGAUUAUAGUGCAGUAAUUCAGAGUACAAGCUUGCUGUCAGACAGAUAGGCACUGAAAUCUUAACUGUGGGCUUUGAAAAGUUACUUAAUCUCUCCAAGCCUUGGUUUUUCUCUUCCAUAAAUAGUUGUAUAAUUGGGAUCAAUAGAAAAAUUUGCCCCUGGAGAUCAAAUUUUUUCAAUUGAUUAUUCUAUUCUUCUAGUCUAUAUUCUUGUCUUAUGGUCUACAGAUGUCAGAGAGAAAGCAGCUACAUACAGCUAUUACUAGAAUUUCUACUCUAUUAUAGUUAAUAUGUACAAUUCGUGUCAAAAGGUAUGCAAGCAUUACUACAAACAGCAUCGGAUACAGCUUGGUGGUCCAGGUUAUUACUUGCAAAUCCACAAGUCCUGUUUUAGCCACAAAAUCAAGUAUCGUUGCAGCUGUUCUCCCAAGAGGGAAAUAUGGGGUUUUGGUAUCAUAGAUACCACUCAUCAACUAGCUAUUAGUUAUUUGGAAAUUGUUAGCAACCGUUUUGCCCAAAAUUUACUGCCUAUUUUGCAAUGCGUAAUUCAGACUUGCUGUACAUUCUUUCCAAUUUAUGAUCUAUGUAUAAUAAUUUUCAGCCUCUUUUUAAUUUUCAACAUACUCAGUUUAGCAAUUCAUGUCACUUCUUACAUUGAGUCAUAUUAGAGCAAAUGUAAAGCGAGGUCCAAGACCAUGGGAAGAGUUUAUCCAGAUAUAUUAAACUCAUUUUUGACUGAGUUUAUAUGGUACAAUUAAUAUGGAAAUAAUGCUUCAAUUCUUUUUUAAUGCAUAUCUCAAAACACAUUUCUGGUAACUAAUAUGAUACUUUGACUCUGGGUUUUAGUAUAACCUUUCAAGGGCAAAUUCUUCAAUUGAGUACAUCUGACAGACAACUUAAUCCGAUAACCGUAACUACUUUAGUGUGUUGUGAAAGCUAAAUGAGGUUUAUUUAUAAAGUAGGAAUACAGUAAGGACUUGAAAAAUGUUAACUGUCAUCAUUGCUAUUAGUUUUAAUUUGAAAUCCUCCAAUGACAUGACGAUGAACAUCUUUUCGUGUGCUUAUUAGCUAUCUGUCUACUUUGGUGAGGUAUCCAUUCAGAUCUUUUGCCCAUUUUUCAAUUGGGUUGUUAAUUUUCUUAUCGCUAAGUUUUAAGUAUUCUUGGUAGCUUAUGGAUAAUGGUCUUUUAUCAGAUAUGUCAUUUACAGAUAUUUGCUGCUAGUCUGUGCCUUAUUUUCUCAUUUUUUAAAUAUUAUUGCUAUUUUGAUACUAAAGUGUUAUUAAAAUGAUGGAUAUAUACUAACAAGAACCAAUAAAAUAAAC
Molecule: long non-coding RNA, 2038 nt
Filed under: Marmota monax (woodchuck)
Lineage: Eukaryota; Metazoa; Chordata; Mammalia; Rodentia; Sciuridae
Source: RNAcentral